ACKGCUCAGUAACACGUGGACAACCUAACCUAUGGAGGGGGAUAACCCCGGGAAACUGGGGAUAAUACCCCAUAGACUAUGGAUGCUGGAAUGCUUCGUAGUUGAAAGGUCCGCCGCUGUAGGAUGGGUCUGCGGCCGAUUAGGUUGUUGUUGGGGUAACGGCCCAACAAGCCUGUAAUCGGUACGGGUUGUGGGAGCAAGAGCCUGGAGAUGGAUUCUGAGACACGAAUCCAGGCCCUACGGGGCGCAGCAGGCGCGAAAACUUUGCAAUGCGGGAAACCGUGACAAGGGAACUCUGAGUGCCCGUUAAAUCGGGCUGUCCAUCGGUUUAAAUAACCGGUGAAGAAAGGGCCGGGCAAGACCGGUGCCAGCCGCCGCGGUAAUACCGGCGGCUCGAGUGGUGGCCACUAUUACUGGGCUUAAAGCGUUCGUAGCUGGUUUGUUAAGUCUCUGGGGAAAUCUUCCGGCUCAACCGGAAGGCGUCUCAGGGAUACUGGCAGGCUAGGGACCGGGAGACGUCGAGGGUACUCUGAGGGUAGCGGUGAAAUGCUCUAAUCCUCGGGGGACCACCAGUGGCGAAGGCGUUCGACGAGAACGGACCUGACGGUGAGGGGCGAAGGCUAGGGGAGCGAACGGGAUUAGAUACCCCGGUAGUCCUAGCUGUAAAGUAUGCGGGCCAGGUGUCUGGUGUUCCUCGAGAGCACCAGGUGCCGGAGAGAAGUCGUUAAGCCCGCCGCCUGGGAAGUACGGCCGCAAGGCUGAAACUUAAAGGAAUUGGCGGGGGAGCAC
This 789-nucleotide ribosomal RNA is filed under the name uncultured Methanomicrobiales archaeon. RNAcentral's name for it is "bacterial SSU rRNA". It matches the Rfam family "Archaeal small subunit ribosomal RNA", at positions 85 to 879 of the family's 1478-position model. The record is from RNAcentral. Lineage: Archaea; Methanobacteriati; Methanobacteriota; Methanomicrobia; Methanomicrobiales.